GGGGGCGGGGAACAGGAGGCAGCUGGGUGGCCACACUUUUCGUGGUCUCUACCCCCUCCCCAUGCCAGAGAGUCCUCACAGCCAGCUGGCCCGACAGGACGGAAAUCCUAUCCUGGCCACAGGACCAGGGUCCAGGCUCACUGUGGACAUUGUCUCCCUGUCCUCUUCUGCCUGGGGGAGGACUUUAAGGCCCCUGUCGGGGCCUCCGUUUGGGUUCGUCUGCUGGUUCAACUGGGGGUUUGGAGGGAGCCCACAGAGCUGGAGUGCCCUUCUUAUGACGUCGUAUCUAAGAGGUUGGUUCGUGCGCCUUCUCUCCAAGCAUCAGGCUCAACUCACCGGAGGAGGAAAGCGAAGCCUCUGGGCGCUUGUGACAGCUGACAUAUUCCCCGCAAGCUGAGGGAUGGUUCCCAUUAAAUGAGGAUUUAUGAUCAAUCCCCGCAAAUUAAGGCUGCCUUGUGAGCUGCAGACUGCAUGCUGGGGGAGCCUGAAACCAAGAACUGCCGGAAGGAGUAGACAACAAAAACACCAAGACAAUCUUGCUCUUUAUGGUCCAAAGACAUUUCAGUAGGACAGAAAACUUUUUUGGCAACAUCCCCAUGCCCCAACUCGAUGCCAUGGAUGUCCCAUGCCACCCCACCCCAAGGUGAUGUCAGCAGAGCCUGAGAGGGGAGUGCAGACACCCACCCCUCUCCCCUACAUUGGGCAGAGGCACUCCUUUCCUGUUUCAGUGUCAAUGAAGACACAUAGGAGACCCUGGGCUUCCUCUCUCAGGGCAGCUGGUGCCCCUCCCACUCCCAGCGUAGAGAUUGACAGGAGAAUUUCAGAUGGGAGAGGGCUGAAGAAAGGGAUUCUUUCAACUCACAUAAGAAGUCCUGGGCAGACACCUAACUGCUCACAUGUGAAACUGACCUGAAUAAACAUGCUGUGGCCCCUGGGCAGUAUACAAAGGAGACCAGAAUAGCACUGCAAGGAUUCCAAUCCAAACUGUCACCGGACCUACAGCCCACACCUGUAGCCAGGACCUGUGCUGGCUGUAGCCUGAGUGACCACUGUUUAAAUGGAAGAUUCAUAGAGGAUCCAGAUUGCCUAAUAUACCACCCAGAUGUCCGGGGUACAAUAGAAAAUCACUCAUCAUAACAAGGGGGUCUCUGGAAUGUUCACUGCACGGACUUACACGAUCACACAGGCAGCCCUGAGAUAGGGCACCUACCUGUACAUCAAUGUUCUAAAGUUUCAAAUGUCUGUAAAGAGUGUCCUUUGGGCAGUGAGGAGACCCUCAUGACUCUUUGUGGGGUAUGGGGGGCAGAGGACUGGAAAGGGGGAAAGAGAGUCAGGAGGGAAGGGAAGGGCGAUUUGGAAUGGGGAACACACACCAACACCUUCCAACGACGUUGAAAUAGGGUCCUUUUCUUGGGUUCAUCACACGAUUGACCAUUUUCUGUUGUAAGUACUCUGGAUUUAUGUUCAUGGCCAAAGGCAAUAAACAGACACUUGAUCAUUU
This is a long non-coding RNA of Leopardus geoffroyi (Geoffroy's cat), 1501 nucleotides long. RefSeq lists it as uncharacterized. NCBI's taxonomy places the organism in Eukaryota, Metazoa, Chordata, Mammalia, Carnivora, Felidae. The transcript is spliced from 3 exons. The record is from RefSeq and is a predicted model, not a curated record.